This is an RNA transcript of Pteropus alecto (black flying fox), 5299 nucleotides long. It is a transcript of the gene named period circadian regulator 3, with no coding region annotated. NCBI's taxonomy places the organism in Eukaryota, Metazoa, Chordata, Mammalia, Chiroptera, Pteropodidae. The transcript has 23 exons. The record is from RefSeq and is a predicted model, not a curated record.
GCUCCGCUCUGGGACUGGCGGCCGGGCGGCGCCGCACCGGGAACCUGGGGUCCCCGGAACUUUGUGCUUAAGUUGCCCCCUUCCUCGGGCCCCAUGUCCGGGUGCACACCGACUUUGCAGAGCCGCCGGCGGGCCAGUCGGUGAAUCGGAGCCUGGCUUUGCGACCGCCGUGGCCGAGGGUCCGUCCCGGGGUUUCCCGGCUGGCCAGCCACAGCCCAGUUUCCGGCAUCAGACUGUUCGCUUCCCUUGACAUUUGUCACCUUUAUGUCCCUCCACCCCCCUCCCCCAGGCUGGACCUCCGGUGACUGGAGACAUCCCAGACCGUAUGGAAAUACCAGAGAGAAAAGUGCCCCCAGAGCUCAGUAAUUGCGGGUUUGUGAUGACUGAUCAUUUUCUCUAAUGCAAUGGCAUGGACCAAAAUGAGAAAUAAAUUUCUGUCGCUGGUUGCAAAGUAAGGAAGAAGCAGGCGACAGAUUAAGGACUGCCAAGGGAAAGAUGGACCCCUGUGAAGAUCUAGAAAUGUCCAGCGGUAAAUCCCACGGCUCCAGGGGGAAUGAACCUAACGAACUAGGAGGACCAGGGGCCAGCAGUGCUGAGACUCUGGGGAAGGACCCUGAGGAGUUGUGGCGCCAGAAAUACCAGCCUCAGAGCAAAUACCUGGAGAGCGGCAACAGUGAACAGCAAGAUCGAAACAGAGUUUCUGAAGAACUUAUAACGGUUGUCCAAGAAAUGAAAAAAUACUUCCCGUCAGAGAAACACAACAAACCAAGCACUCUCGAUGCCCUCAACUAUGCCCUUCGCUGUGUACACAGUGUGCAAGCAAACAGUGAGUUUUUCCAGAUUCUCAGUCAAAAUGGAGCACCUCCAGUAGAUGUGACCGCGUACAGUCUGGAGGAGCUGGCCACUAUUGCUUCAGAGCACACUUCCAAAAACACAGAUACCUUUGUGGCAGUUUUUUCAUUUCUGUCCGGAAGGUUAGUGCACAUUUCUGAACAGGCUACUUCGAUCUUGAAUUGUAAGAAAGACUUCCUGGAGUCCUCUCACUUUGUGGAGCUGCUCGCCCCUCAGGAUGUCAGGGUGUUCUGCACACACACUGCCCACGCUCAGCUUCCCUUCUGGGACAACUGGAUCCGAAGAGCAGCAUCACAGCGCGAAUACCCUCCAGAGAAACCCUUCUUCUGCAGAAUCCGCGGGGGUGAAGACAGAAAGCAGGAGAAGCACUGCUACCCGUUCCGGAUUAUCCCCUACUCGAUUCACGUGCAGAACUCCGCCGGUCGGGAGCCUGAGCCCUGCUGUCUCACCCUUGCAGAGAAGAUUCACUCUGGUUACGAAGCUCCUCGAAUCCCAGUGGAUAAAAGAAUUUUUACCACAACACACACUCCAGGGUGUGUUUUCCUUGAAAUAGAUGAAAGAGCUGUGCCUUUGCUGGGAUACCUGCCUCAGGACCUGGUCGGGAUGUCUGUCUUAACAUAUUUACACCCAGAAGACCGUCCUCUGAUGGUCGCCAUACACCAAAAAGUCUUGAAGUAUGCAGGCCGUCCUCCCUUUGAACAUUCACCCGUUAGAUUUUGUACUCAAAAUGGAGAUUACAUUAGACUGGACUCCAGCUGGUCCAGCUUCGUGAACCCAUGGAGCCGGAAGGUUUCCUUCAUCAUCGGUCGACAUAAAGUUCGAACGAGUCCACUCAAUGAGGAUGUUUUUGCUAACAGAAUAAAAAAGACGAACAAUAUUGACAAAGACAUUACAGAAUUACAAGAACAAAUUCACAAACUUCUCUUACAGCCAGUCCCCAUGAGCGCCUCCAGUGGCUACGGGAGCCUGGGGAGCAGCGGGUCCCAGGAGCAGCAGGUCAGCGUGGCGUCCUCCAGUGAGUCCAGCGGGCACUGCGCAGAGGACGCGCGGAAGGAGCCGCUGACUUUGCAACAGGUCUAUGCCAGCGUAAACAAAAUUAAGAACCUGGGCCAGCAGCUGUACAUUGAAUCGAUGACCAGAUCACCCAGCCAGCAAGCGACGGGGAUGCACGCGGGCCAGCUGGAGGGUAAGCAGAAGGCCUUUUCUUCCUUCCAGACAUUGAAAAAUAAUAGCACAUACACUGAGUCUUACGAGGAUUUGAGAAAAGAGCAGCACAGCCCGUCUUAUCAGCAAAUUAACUGUAUCGACAGUGUUAUCAGAUACCUGAGGAGCUACAGCAUUCCGGCUUUGAAAAGAAAGUGCAUAUCCUGGACAAAUACUACGUCAUCCUCGGAAGAAGACAGGCACAACCACAAGGCAGGUGCCGGCCAAGCCUCGCAAGCUGCAGACCCUCAGAUCCCAGCUGCACCCAAAUCGGAACCACCACCUAACGGACCGCCCCCAGAUGCCAAGGGACGAGCUGCGCCGACGCCGUCCACGGCAGCCCCGAGCCUGGGCUCCGGCGUGAGCCAGUGCAGCUACAGCAGCACCAUUGUGCACGCCCCGCCCCCAGAGUCAGCAGAGUUGACACUCACAGAGGACACCAUCCUAGCCUGUGAGGCCUGGCCACCCAGCGUGCACCCAGCCCCACUGACCCCCGACGAGUUCAGACGUGUGGGGCUCACCAAGGCCGUCCUUUCCGCCCACACCCAGAAGGAAGAACAGAAUUACGUGGAUAAAUUUCGGGAAAAGAUCCUGUCACCACCCUACAGCUCCUACCUUCAGCAAGAAGGCAGAGGCAAAGCUAAAUAUUCAUAUAUUCAAGGGGAGUCCACCUCCAAGCAGAGUCGCUCGGCUGCUGGCAGGAAGGGGAAGCACAAGCGGAAGAAGCUGCUGCCCACGGACAGCUGUAGUGCGCGGGACGCUUGCUGUCCCCACUUGACAGCUCGGGUCCAGGACGCACAGCCCUGGUGGCCUGCUGCCACCCCCGCCCCCGGCCUGUCGUUCCCAGCCGCGGUGCUGGUGCCCAGCCCGGCACCCUGCCUCGUGCCGGCCGCGCCCGCUCUCCCGGCUGCGUACCCGGAGGCCUUUGUGACCGUUUUCUUGCCUGACCCCCCCAUCUGGCCUCUGUUGGCUCCGUCGUGCACCCCAUUCCUGGGAGCGGCGGACUCCUCCAUAACACCCUGCUUGGUGUCGGCAGCAGCCGCGAACCAGGAACCUCCGUUUUCGGUGAUCGACCACAGCAGACCCAGGGGCCCAGAGGAGACCCGGAGUGAGGGGCGCCUGUCCGUCCCCUCAGGGACCAGCUCCCCGCUGCAGCUGAGCUUCCUCGGGGAGGUCGCGCCCGGGGCCCGGGAGCCCGCUGGCCCCCACACACAGUGUCAGUGCGUUACAGGCAACGGUGGGAAGAAGAACUGUGGUUUUACUGCCAGCGACCUGUCCGCAGCGUCACUUCACAAGGAGGCUCCGUGCAGAUCGGGCUCUGCAGCAGCAGGAAGCAGUGACAGCAGUGUAUACUUUACUAGCAGUGAUGAUUCUCCUGACAUCCCCCCAAACGGGCAGCCGUCUCGAGAUGUGCAGGAAACAGCUGCGUUUCCAACGUCAGCUGAAGAGUCCAUCUGGACAAUGAUAAAACAAACACCUGAGUGCAUUCUGAUGACGUAUCAGGUACCCGAGAGGGUUAAAGAAAUUGUCCUGAGAGAAGACCUGGGCAAACUGGACAGCAUGAGGCAGCAGCAGCCGCAGUUUUCCCCUGGACAGAGAGCGGAGCUGGCCGCGGAGCAUCCUUGGCUGCAGAGCCAGACAAUCCCUCCGGAAAUAGACACCCAGGGCUGUGUCACUUGCAAACAGGAGGAUUCCGCUGGCGAGGCUGCGGACCUCUGUGGUCAGGACCCAGCAGGGGACAGCAGCUGAGUGGCUGCACAGACUCGUCAGCGCACCUUCUUGGGGACAGGGGCUGGCUGCACAACCGAGCCUCUCUCCACAUGACUCCCUAAACUCUGACUCUUACAUGACUGUGAAGUUAUCAUUGAAUGUUAAGGUUUUUCCUUCUUGACUUUUUAAUAGACAUCAUUUUUCUGAAGCAGACGUUGUAUAUGGAAAAUUUUACUUCUCCUUGUUCCCGAUGUAUUAAAACUAUCAAUAGGCUCUUUUUAUAGUUUAACUGUCUUCUAAAGAGAUCGGAUGGCCUUUAAAAGGUCUGCAUCCCCACCAGAGGGCUGACUGGCACUGCCUUAGUUCCCCCUUCUACAGAGGAAAACACUCCUUUCUCCUUUGAAGUUUUAUAGCUUUUUAUAAAGUGCAUUCUGGUGGUAAUUCGGAGAAUCGGCCUUCUUACCAGGAUGACUACUGGACCCUGAUUCUCAAUCCCAAUGGCUUAGACUUUUCUUUCAAAAGUCAUGGUUUCCUGGAAGGUAAUUCUAUCUUAAGAUGUCAGAACCAUCUUCAGAUGCUGCCUAUGACAUUUCUUGGGAUUUUCUAAUACUCGGCAGUUCCGUGCAAAUAUUCCUGUUUUAUGGGUAGAGAACUCUUAUAUCCUGCUCUCAUAGUCUUAAUUGUUAAAUGAUUUCUAAAGCCUUCGUGUUGGCCAAGGUGUGUAGUACUUUUGCCUUUGGUGAAGAAAAUCAAAUUAAAAAAAAGAAGCAUCCCGGACAUUGCCCGUCUGUCUAACCAUCGUGACCCUCCGUGGUAACAAGGUUGUGGGUUUGAGUAAAUGCGCAGUGACAUGUGGCUGUCGGGAUCGUUCUGCGUCUGAGCGCACAUGUUGCAGACCUGAUGUCCUCUAAUGACGUGCGCCCCCCCCUUCCCGUCCUUUCUGGACAUUUCUCUACAUUCGCUUACUCUUUGCCUUGGUACACAUCGUGUGGAGCAUACACCACACUAGGCUUGAUUUGAAACUGGUGCUUGUUGUAGGCAGAUCUCUGAAGCCACGUGUAGCUCUCGGACUUGGGCGAUGGGGGAGUCGGUGCAUUUAGAGACCAGACCAUGAUGACCACGAUGCUCCCGCUGCCGGCGGCGGGGGGAGCGGGCUCAGCGGUGACGCUGUCGCCCCCCACGGGGGUUCUCCCAGCUGUGUACUUUGCUGUUCAGGUUUAUCAACUUUUUGUAUUAAUGACUGCCGAAAUGGUAAUAAAAAUGUAUACUAUAGGCUUCGAUGUUUACAUAAAUGUUACCCAAAAGUCCGUAUUGUCUUGAAUAAGAGGUCAGGAUUUAUGAAAAACAGUGCAUUUUGCAAUUGAGUGUGAAACUUCAUUAUGAUUCACAAGGUAAAUUUAAUCCAAAUGGACAUUCUGUGUCAACCGAAUUUAUAAUUAGCUGUGGGAAUUUGCUUGUUUUUAAUGGUUAUUAAUAUUUUCAUUGGGUAUCUUUUUUAAGUAAAACAAUAAAGUGUGUACAUUGAAAACUUGAA